This 521-nucleotide ribosomal RNA is filed under the name uncultured bacterium. Its description in RNAcentral is "bacterial SSU rRNA". It matches the Rfam family "Bacterial small subunit ribosomal RNA", at positions 337 to 865 of the family's 1533-position model. The record is from RNAcentral.
UCCUACGGGAGGCAGCAGUGGGGAAUAUUGCGCAAUGGGCGAAAGCCUGACGCAGNGAGCCGCGUGAGGGAUGACGGCCUUCGGGUUGUAAACCUCUUUCAGCUCUGACGAAGCCUUUCGGGGUGACGGUAGGGGCAGAAGAAGUGCCGGCUAACUACGUGCCAGCAGCCGCGGUAAGACGUAGGGCACAAGCGUUGUCCGGAUUUAUUGGGCGUAAAGAGCUCGUAGGCGGCUUGUCACGUCGGCCGUGAAAUUCUGCAGCUUAACUGUGGGAUUGCGGUCGAUACGGGCAGGCUAGAGUUCGGUAGGGGAGACUGGAAUUCCUGGUGUAGCGGUGAAAUGCGCAGAUAUCAGGAGGAACACCGGUGGCGAAGGCGGGUCUCUGGGCCGAUACUGACGCUGAGGAGCGAAAGCGUGGGGAGCGAACAGGAUUAGAUACCCUGGUAGUCCAUGCUGUAAACGUUGGGCGCUAGGUGUGGGGACCCUUCCCGGGUUUCUGUGCCGUAGCUAACGCAUUAAGC